GGUGUACUAGGAAGGUGGAGGCUGGGUGAACUAGGAAGGUGGAGACUGGGUGAACUAGGAAGGUGGAGACUGGGUGAACUAGGAAGGUGGAGACUGGGUGAACUAGGAAGGUGGAGGCUGGGCGAACUAGGAAGGUGGAGGCUGGGUGAGACUGGGUGAACUAGGAAGGUGGAGACUGGGUGAACUAGGAAGGUGGAGACUGGGUGAACUAGGAAGGUGGAGACUGGGUGAACUAGGAAGGUGGAGGCUGGGUGAACUAGGAAGGUGGAGACUGGGUGAACUAGGAAGGUGGAGACUGGGUGAACUAGGAAGGUGGAGGCUGGGUGAACUAGGAAGGUGGAGGCUGGGUGAGACUGUGUGAACUAGGAAGGUGGAGGCUGGGUGAACUAGGAAGGUGGAGGCUGGGUGAGACUGGGUGAACUAGGAAGGUGGAGACUGGGUGAACUAGGAAGGUGGAGACUGUGUGAACUAGGAAGGUGGAGACUGGGUGAACUAGGAAGGUGGAGACUGGGUGAACUAGGAAGGUGGAGACUGGGGUGGUGGAGGCAAAGCGUUGCCAGCAGCAGCAGCAGUAGGGUUGGGUACCGACACCCGGUGCUAACACGACACCGGUGCCUUAACGACCGGUAUCUAUCGGACCGAAUAACAACACAGAUUUUGGUGCCACUUAAAUACCUGCCUGCUCUA
Perca fluviatilis (European perch) is the source of this 687-nucleotide long non-coding RNA. RefSeq lists it as uncharacterized. Lineage: Eukaryota; Metazoa; Chordata; Actinopteri; Perciformes; Percidae. The record is from RefSeq and is a predicted model, not a curated record. The transcript is spliced from 3 exons.